GAUUGCCUACGGGACGCAGCAGUCGAGAAUCAUUCACAACGGGGGAAACCCUAAUGGUGCGACGCCGCGUGUGGGAAGACGGUCCUCUGGAUUGUAAACCACUGUCCCCAGGGACGAAGAUGACGGUACCUGGGGAGGAAGCUCCGGCUAACUACGUGCCAGCAGCCGCGGUAAUACGUAGGGAGCGAGCGUUGUCCGGAAUUACUGGGUGUAAAGGGAGCGUAGGCGGGACUGCAAGUUGGGUGUCAAAUCUACCGGCUCAACCGGUAGCCGCACUCAAAACUGCAGUUCUUGAGUGAAG
This 301-nucleotide ribosomal RNA is filed under the name uncultured bacterium. Its description in RNAcentral is "bacterial SSU rRNA". It matches the Rfam family "Bacterial small subunit ribosomal RNA", at positions 333 to 651 of the family's 1533-position model. The record is from RNAcentral.